AUUGAACGCUGGCGGCAUGCCUUACACAUGCAAGUCGAACGGCAGCACGGGUGCUUGCACCUGGUGGCGAGUGGCGAACGGGUGAGUAAUACAUCGGAACAUGUCCUGUAGUGGGGGAUAGCCCGGCGAAAGCCGGAUUAAUACCGCAUACGAUCCACGGAUGAAAGCGGGGGACCUUCGGGCCUCGCGCUAUAGGGUUGGCCGAUGGCUGAUUAGCUAGUUGGUGGGGUAAAGGCCUACCAAGGCGACGAUCAGUAGCUGGUCUGAGAGGACGACCAGCCACACUGGGACUGAGACACGGCCCAGACUCCUACGGGAGGCAGCAGUGGGGAAUUUUGGACAAUGGGCGAAAGCCUGAUCCAGCAAUGCCGCGUGUGUGAAGAAGGCCUCGGGUUGUAAAGCACUUUUGUCCGGAAAGAAAUCCUUGGCUCUAAUACAGUCGGGGGAUGACGGUACCGGAAGAAUAAGCACCGGCUAACUACGUG
RNAcentral lists this ribosomal RNA (485 nucleotides) under uncultured bacterium. Its description in RNAcentral is "partial 16S ribosomal RNA". It matches the Rfam family "Bacterial small subunit ribosomal RNA", at positions 30 to 507 of the family's 1533-position model. The record is from RNAcentral.